RNAcentral lists this ribosomal RNA (253 nucleotides) under uncultured bacterium. RNAcentral describes it as "partial 16S ribosomal RNA". It matches the Rfam family "Bacterial small subunit ribosomal RNA", at positions 524 to 776 of the family's 1533-position model. The record is from RNAcentral.
UACGAAGGGGGCUAGCGUUGUUCGGAAUUACGGGGCGUAAAGCGCACGUAGGCGGGUUGUUAAGUCAGGGGUGAAAUCCUGGAGCUCAACUCCAGAACUGCCUUUGAUACUGGCAACCUAGAGACUGGAAGAGGUUAGUGGAAUUCCCAGUGUAGAGGUGAAAUUCGUAGAUAUUGGGAAGAACACCAGUGGCGAAGGCGGCUAACUGGUCCAGCACUGACGCUGAGGUGCGAAAGCGUGGGGAGCAAACAGG